UUCAGCAGCAUGGAUACAAAAAAUAAAAUAAAUUGGAACGAUACAGGGAAGAUUAGCAUUGGCUCUGUGAAAGGAUGACAAAUUCGUGAAGCAUUCUAUGUAUAA
Small nuclear RNA from Camelus dromedarius (Arabian camel), 105 nucleotides. Lineage: Eukaryota; Metazoa; Chordata; Mammalia; Artiodactyla; Camelidae. The record is from Ensembl.